RNAcentral lists this long non-coding RNA (349 nucleotides) under Rhipicephalus sanguineus (brown dog tick). Its description in RNAcentral is "uncharacterized LOC119384882". The record is from RNAcentral. Lineage: Eukaryota; Metazoa; Arthropoda; Arachnida; Ixodida; Ixodidae.
CGCAGAACACCGGGACAACGUUCUCGUGGAAAACACCGUUCCUGCACAAGAGGCCAGAGUGAACGCGGCUCCACAGGUUCCGUCGGUUCUCGAGCCGACAUUCAUCCGACUUCCUGAAGGCAGCGCCUCCGAGACGGAAUUAUCGGGAGCAGAAGGGUGCAGCGCAACAAGGGAUCAUUGCGACCACACGUACGCCCGUCCAUCACAUGGAUGCCUGGCACCUCCCCAAGAAGUCCUAGAACACCGGGACAACGUGCUGGUGGACAACGCAGUUCCUGUACAAGAAGCCAGAGCUAACGAGGCUCGACAGGCCGCAUUACCACAGGCUCCGUCGGCUGCACAGACUCCA